UUGUGAAACAUUUCAUUAACACAGGCAGGACCAAUUCGCCAGGCUCCUCGAAGAAUUCCCUUAGCAAACCGUGACGUUGUAAACAAGACUACACAUGAAAUGAGCGAAAGCGGCGAGUCCAUGAAGUUCACCUGAGGGACUUUUGAAGAAAAAAGGUGGCAGCAUGAGAGCACAGAGAAGACAACUUUCAGCGAGACUUAUGGACCAAGGAUUGCACUGGAAGACAUGUUUGAUAUAUCUCGACAAUAUCAAUGUGUUGGGUAAAAGUUACACGAUGAUCUUCAAAGCUUGGAAGAGGUUGUUCAACGGAUAGCUAGCGCUGGUCUAAAGCUGAACCCGAUGAAGUGUUCUCUUUUCGAAAAGAACUCUUAGGACAGAAAGGGACAACGGAGGGCAAAAGAUAGAGACAGUAAAAGAUUGGCCAUUCAUUAAAAUGUACAUGAAUUGCUCAUUUUCCUUUGACUGGGUUUUUUUUAUCGUCGAUUCGUUCCCAAUUUUGCCAGCAUAGCUAGUAGUAGGCGCAUCAUAAUAUAGUAAUAUCCCUAAAAUUUAUUUAUUUAAUACCACUUAUAAUAUAUAAGUUGCUUUAUUUCAUCCAUGAAUCAAAUAGAAAUAUUAAAAUAAUAAAUAUGAAUAAGUUUAAUCAUCCAUUUUUAUUUUUGCAAAGAUUUGAUAAUACGCACGUUCUCAUUUUUUAAAUUGUCACGCUCUAACAAUAAAAACAGCAUUUUAAAUAAAUAAAUCACAAUGGUGAACAAAUCAA
This is a long non-coding RNA of Bactrocera tryoni, 763 nucleotides long. RefSeq lists it as uncharacterized. Lineage: Eukaryota; Metazoa; Arthropoda; Insecta; Diptera; Tephritidae. The transcript is spliced from 2 exons. The record is from RefSeq and is a predicted model, not a curated record.